AGGAUUUGAAGUAGUUACAAGUCAUAUAAUCAGAGAAUUUGAAUGGCCCUUUAUUCCCCAGAUCAAUUUCUUUCUUCAACUCUGUCCAGAUCACAAAAAGAAUCAGGCAAAGGAAGGGAAAAUGGUGAAAAUAGCUUGAGAAAGUAAUCCAGUUUUAAGUGAUUUUCAGCCUCCUUUUUCUCUCCUCUCUCUUAUUUUCCAUGGCCUAAAUAGAGACCUUGAUUUCUUAAAGAAAUUUGUUCUUACCAAAUCAGAAUUAGAAGGGAAAAAAAAAAAAGAGUUACACUAAAUAGGCAAAAGAAAAUGCAAAUUUGAUAGAUCGAAGUAGAUGAAUGGUCAAUAUUGAUGCUUGAUAAUGAAAUCCAAAUUGCAGGCCAAGUAGAUUAAACCGGCCACUACUGGGAUUGAUCAAUGGAUUGUCUGGCAGAGGGUCAUUUUACAGGUUCUUGAUGGCUUAUCAUUGAAAAGUGAUGCCUGGAAAUGAUUGUUGGAGGUAAAACAAACCAUGUUUGAUGACUCCUUUACUAAGCAAGAUUUUGGAAUGAUUUGAUCACCAAUUCUCCAGAAUCUGAUGUUACUUUUGUGGGGACUUAUCACCCAAGUCACCACUUAGCCAAUCCAAUGCUGCAGCCUUCUUUUCUUCCUUCAAACUUGCCUCCUUAACAAUUUUUUUGCUUUUGUAUAUUUACACCCAGGGAUCUCAGCUUCAACCAGUAGACCACCCACGUAUGGCCCCGGAGCA
Molecule: long non-coding RNA, 742 nt
Filed under: Vitis vinifera (wine grape)
Lineage: Eukaryota; Viridiplantae; Streptophyta; Magnoliopsida; Vitales; Vitaceae
Description: long non-coding RNA (VVIN_LNC005658)
Source: RNAcentral